GAUCUACAAGCUUGGAGGAAUCGACAAGCGUGUGAUCGAGAGGUUCGAGAAGGAAGCUGCUGAGAUGAACAAACGUUCUUUCAAAUACGCAUGGGUGCUCGACAAACUUAAGGCCGAGCGUGAACGUGGUAUUACCAUCGAUAUUGCCCUCUGGAAGUUUGAAACCACCAAGUACUACUGCACAGUCAUCGAUGCCCCCGGACAUCGUGAUUUCAUCAAGAACAUGAUUACUGGUACUUCCCAGGCCGAUUGUGCCGUUCUCAUCAUUGACUCCACCACUGGAGGUUUCGAAGCUGGUAUUUCCAAGGAUGGGCAGACCCGUGAGCACGCUCUUCUCGCUUUCACUCUUGGUGUGAAGCAAAUGAUCUGCUGUUGUAACAAGGUAAUGAAUUAAUAAUUAUUCUUGGUUGUUUUGUUAUUCAAUAUAUUUUUAUCUAUGAUGCUUACUGGUAUGAUGGUAUUUUUGUAGAUGGAUGCUACCACCCCUAAAUACUCCAAGGGUAGGUACGAGGAAAUCGUGAAGGAAGUGUCUUCAUACUUGAAGAAGGUCGGAUACAACCCAGACAAAAUCCCAUUCGUUCCAAUCUCUGGAUUCGAAGGUGACAACAUGAUUGAGAGGUCAACCAACCUUGACUGGUACAAGGGACCAACCCUUCUUGAAGCUCUUGACCAGAUCAACGAGCCAAAGAGACCCACAGACAAGCCACUCCGUCUACCACUUCAGGAUGUUUACAAGAUCGGUGGUAUUGGAACUGUGCCAGUGGGACGUGUUGAGACAGGUAUCAUCAAGCCUGGUAUGGUUGUGACCUUCGGACCAACAGGGUUGACCACUGAAGUCAAGUCUGUUGAGAUGCAUCAUGAAGCUUUGACCGAAGCUCUUCCUGGUGACAAUGUUGGGUUCAAUGUUAAGAAUGUUGCUGUGAAGGAUAUCAAGCGUGGGUAUGUUGCCUCAAACUCCAAGGAUGAUCCUGCUAAGGGUGCUGCCAGUUUCACUUCCCAGGUUAUCAUCAUGAACCACCCUGGUCAGAUCGGAAAUGGUUAUGCUCCAGUGUUGGAUUGCCACACUUCUCACAUUGCUGUUAAGUUCCAAGAGCUGUUGACCAAGAUUGACAGACGAUCAGGAAAGGAGCUUGAGAAGGAGCCCAAGUUUUUGAAGAAUGGUGAUGCAGGUAUGGUUAAGAUGAUGCCGACCAAGCCUAUGGUGGUGGAGACUUUCGCAGAGUACCCACCUCUUGGAAGGUUUGCUGUGAGGGACAUGCGUCAGACUGUUGCUGUUGGUGUGAUCAAGAGUGUUGACAA
Molecule: long non-coding RNA, 1299 nt
Filed under: Lactuca sativa (garden lettuce)
Lineage: Eukaryota; Viridiplantae; Streptophyta; Magnoliopsida; Asterales; Asteraceae
Description: long non-coding RNA (LSAT_LNC001846)
Source: RNAcentral